Molecule: ribosomal RNA, 460 nt
Filed under: uncultured bacterium
Lineage: Bacteria
Description: partial 16S ribosomal RNA
Rfam family: Bacterial small subunit ribosomal RNA
Source: RNAcentral
CCUACGGGAGGCAGCAGUGAGGAAUAUUGGUCAAUGGCCGUAAGGCUGAACCAGCCAAGUCGCGUGAAGGAAGAAGGAUCUAUGGUUUGUAAACUUCUUUUAUAGGGGAAUAAAGGUAUCCACGUGUGGAUAUUUGCAUGUACCCUAUGAAUAAGCAUCGGCUAACUCCGUGCCAGCAGCCGCGGUAAUACGGAGGAUGCGAGCGUUAUCCGGAUUUAUUGGGUUUAAAGGGUGCGUAGGUUGUUUUUUAAGUCAGCGGUGAAAGUUUGUGGCUCAACCAUAAAAUUGCCGUUGAAACUGGAAGUCUUGAGUGUGUUUGAGGUAUGCGGAAUGCGUGGUGUAGCGGUGAAAUGCAUAGAUAUCACGCAGAACUCCGAUUGCGAAGGCAGCUUACUGGGCCAUAACUGACGCUGAGGCACGAAAGCGUGGGGAUCAAACAGGAUUAGAUACCCUGGUAGUC